GAUUUCUAUUACUUUGGUUUUUAAUGUUCAUCAUUUUUAUCGCGUGUUUAUUGAAAACUGGUCGAAAGCCAGAUACUUUACUUCAUCUAACAUUCAUUGAUGAUGAUGAAAAUUUACCAUCAUUCAUGGAUGAUUGGCAACAAAGUUCAGAGGUUGGUCGCCCUCCCGCUGCAAAAACUUACGAGGCUAGACAACGAAUGCCAUUUCAUACUUCAUAUAGGAAGACCAACAAGAAUUGCAGGUUCGAUAAGUUUGUCAGUAUUAAUAAAAUUAAAUACUGCUAAUUACAGUGAAUUGUUAUAAAUGUUUAUUUUUCAGAAUGGAAACAUGUUUUGAUUCUUCACGUUGUGACAAAGAUUUUCGAGUGUUUGUGUAUCCAUUAUCUGAACUGGAGACUAGUGGAUUAAUGACUACAGCUCGUAGUAUUCUGUACCAAAAAAUGUUGGAUAUUAUUGUGGAAUCAAGGUAUUACACGGAUGAAUACACCAUUGCUUGUGUAUUCGUAGUAGCAAUUGAUACUCUUGAUCGAGAUCCUUUAUCUCCAGACUAUGUACGUAAUAUCCCUGUGAAAUUGCAAAGGCUCAAACAUUGGAAUGGUGGUCGUAAUCAUAUAAUUUUUAAUCUUUAUUCUGGUUCUUGGCCCAACUACAAUGAAGAUGACCUCGGAUUUCAUACUGGUGAUGCUAUUUUAGCUAAAGCUAGUAUGUCGGUUAGUAAUAUGAGACCAGGAUUCGAUAUUUCUUUUCCGUUAUUUCACAAGGUGAAUAUUAUAAUUGUACUUUUUUCUAUCUGGUUUUUUAUAUUUUCCAAUUUUUGUUUAAAAGAAACACCCAGAAAGAGGUGGCGAACCUGGUUUUGUUCGUUCCAACACAUAUCCAAUAACAAAAAAGUAUAAAUUGGCAUUCAAAGGUAAACGGUAUGUACUUGGUAUUGGAUCAGAGACUAGAAACUCUAUUUUUCACUUACAUAACGGAAAGGAUACAAUUGUAGUAACGACAUGUAAACAUGGUAAAAACUGGAAAGAUGCUCAGGAUGAGAGAUGUGAUGUUGAUAAUUCUUUAUACGAAAAGUAAAUACAGUAUUUAUUAACUAUGUGAAGUUAUACUUUUAUAUUAAUCUUUUCAUUCUCUAGGUAUGAUUAUGGAAAUCUUCUAAAAAAUUCAACAUUUUGUUUAGUUCCUAGAGGCCGUCGUUUAGGAUCAUAUAGAUUCUUAGAAGCUCUACAAGCCGGUUGUAUACCUGUAUUGUUAUCUAAUAAUUGGGCUCUACCUUUUGAUGAAGUAAUAGAUUGGAAUAAAGCUGUUAUAUGGGCCGAUGAAAGGUUGUUGUUCCAGGUACCAGAAGUGAUUCAUUCUAUACCAGAAACUAAACUUUUUGCUUUAAGACAACAAACCCAAAUUUUGUGGGAACAGUACUUCAAUACAAUUGAAAAAAUAGUUUUCACUACUUUUGAAGUAAGAUUGUUAUAAUAAAUCAACAAUUGUCAAUGCUUUGGUGACAUACAAAUUAUAGUUUAAUUUUUCUAUAGAUAAUUAAAGAGCGUUUACCUAAAUUGCAAUCCCGAGAUGGUAUUGUUUGGAAUACUUCGCCUGGAGCUCUGGUGUCUCAACACUCAUUUACUGAGCAUCUUAAUUUCAACUUGCCAUUUAGUUAUCAUCUCCUUGGCAAACAACCUAGUUCAAAUUUUACAGCAGUAAUAUUUUCCCAACAUAACAACCUUAAUACACCACUAUAUCGUUUAGUUAGAAAUAUAGCUGCAAGCAAAUAUUUGACACAAGUAAAUUAAUCAAGUCAUAAUAUUACUAAUAGCAUAAGUAAAUUAAAUAUAAUCAAUAUAUUUGUAUAGAUUAUUAUUAACUCGUGUGCUGAUAAUGGUGGCAAAAGUGUGUACCAAAAAAUUGCUGGUAUAAAACUAUUAGUAUUGUCUGGAAAUGGCUGUAAGAGGUUUGAGCCGUUAUCAUUUAUUAAAACUGAAGCUGUUUUAUCAUUAGACGAUGAUGUUGUUUUAACUACUGAUGAAAUUGAUUUUGCAUAUCAUGUGUGGCGAUCAUUUCCCGAUAGGAUUGUUGGAUUUCCAGCUAGAUCUCAUUACUGGGACAGCAGCAAGGUUUUGUGUUAAUUAUUAUUGUAUUAUAGUUUUCACU
RNAcentral lists this long non-coding RNA (2144 nucleotides) under Cinara cedri. Lineage: Eukaryota; Metazoa; Arthropoda; Insecta; Hemiptera; Aphididae. The record is from RNAcentral.